RNAcentral lists this long non-coding RNA (646 nucleotides) under Homo sapiens (human). Its description in RNAcentral is "HRG and FETUB antisense RNA 1". The record is from RNAcentral. Lineage: Eukaryota; Metazoa; Chordata; Mammalia; Primates; Hominidae.
UGCCUGGAGUGAAGAUUCUGCCCAUUGGUCAAGAGACCUCCCUCUCAGAUGCUGGCUCUGCCCCUGCCUUUGGGGGUCGACCCUUGUACUCGCAGGACCUUAGGUGACUCUGUAAGUAUAGUAAAACGCAGUUAAUAUGAUGUUAUCAUUCAAUCAUUUUUAAAAAGUGGAGCAACCAGUUGACAAGGUAAGACUUUUUCCUGACAUCUGUGGUUGUUUAUUUAAAAGAACAGACAAUAUUUAAAAUGAAAGACAAACUCAGAGGUUGCAGUGAGCCGAGAUCGCACCACUGCACUCCAGCCAAGGUGACAGAGCAAGACCUCUUCUCAAAAAAGAAAAAGCACCCACAAUUCCAACUGAAAGUUAACUACAUUCUAUAUUUUGUCAUAAUUUGUUUUCCAUCACUUUUUGUAUUUACAUUUAUUUUACAUAUUUAAAUAAAUCCGUAUGUAUAGUUUUGUAUCCCACUUUUUUUGUUUUUUACUUAACAUUGUAACCGUUUUACUAUGUCACUAAAAACUAAAAAUUUUUGAUAGCUGUAUCAUAUUCUACUGUAUGGAUAUACUGUAAUUUACUUAACCAUUCUGUAAUGUUGCAUAAACUAUUUGUUUACAAUAUUUUUCUAUUAAAAAACAACUGACAUUAA